UGGGCAACCUGCCCUCAGCUCUGGGAUAACUCUGGGAAACCGGGGCUAAUACCGGAUACGACCGUCCCUCGCAUGGGGGUUGGUGGAAAGUUCUUCGGCUGAGGAUGGGCCCGCGGCCUAUCAGCUUGUUGGUGGGGUGAUGGCCUACCAAGGCGACGACGGGUAGCCGGCCUGAGAGGGCGACCGGCCACACUGGGACUGAGACACGGCCCAGACUCCUACGGGAGGCA
Molecule: ribosomal RNA, 230 nt
Filed under: uncultured bacterium
Lineage: Bacteria
Description: partial 16S ribosomal RNA
Rfam family: Bacterial small subunit ribosomal RNA
Source: RNAcentral